CAUGACUGGGGUGAAGUCGUAACAAGGUAGCCGUAGGGGAACCUGCGGCUGGAUCACCUCCUUA
This 64-nucleotide ribosomal RNA is filed under the name Pseudomonas aeruginosa. Its description in RNAcentral is "partial 16S ribosomal RNA". It matches the Rfam family "Bacterial small subunit ribosomal RNA", at positions 1470 to 1533 of the family's 1533-position model. The record is from RNAcentral. Lineage: Bacteria; Pseudomonadati; Pseudomonadota; Gammaproteobacteria; Pseudomonadales; Pseudomonadaceae. RNAcentral also lists the same sequence under 47 other names.